Molecule: ribosomal RNA, 439 nt
Filed under: uncultured bacterium
Lineage: Bacteria
Description: bacterial SSU rRNA
Rfam family: Bacterial small subunit ribosomal RNA
Source: RNAcentral
AACGCGAAGAACCUUACCAGGCCUUGACAUGCACCAGACAGACGCUGAAAGGCGUUCUCCCUUCGGGGCUGGUGCACAGGUGCUGCAUGGCUGUCGUCAGCUCGUGUCGUGAGAUGUUGCGUUAAGUCGCGCAACGAGCGCAACCCCUGUCCUUAGUUGCCAUCAGGUAAAGCUGGGCACUCUAGGGAGACAAACCCUCUUUGAGGGUGGGAAGGUGGGGAUGACGUCAAGUCAGGAUGGCCCUUACGGCCUGGGCUGCACACGUGCUACAAUGCCCGAUACAGAGGGACGCAAGACCGCAAGGUGGAGCAAAUCCUCAAAAUCGGGCCCAGUUCAGAUUGUAGUCUGCAACUCGACUACAUGAAGUUGGAAUCGCUAGUAAUGGCGCAUCAGCUACGGCGCCGUGAAUACGUUCCCGGGCCUUGUACACACCGCUGUA